This 143-nucleotide unclassified non-coding RNA is filed under the name uncultured fungus. RNAcentral describes it as "sequence contains ITS1". Lineage: Eukaryota; Fungi. The record is from RNAcentral.
ACAAUAAGUGUUUAUGGCACUUUUAAAUCCAUAUCCACCUUGUGUGCAAUGUCAGUCGUUCUCUUCUAUGGGAACGACCAAACAUCAACCAACUCUUUAACUCUUUGUCUGAAAAAUAUUACGAAUAAAAUAAUUCAAAAUAC